AUGUAUAUUGCAAAUGUAUCGCACAUAUCAUUGAUAGACAUCAAAAAGUUUAAAUCCCUAACAAAAGUAACUGUUGGAAGAUGCGACGGUUUAUUCCCUGAAGAGCUGGAUGGCAGUAUUGUCUUCCAUUCAGUUAAGAGUCUCAAAUUACAUGUAUCUCAUCUUACCAGAAGCAAAUCAUCAUUGUCAAAAGUGCUAAACUGCUUCACAGCUCUUUCUAUGUUGGCGAUAGAUGGAGGCAAUGAGGAAUGUGUAAUACAGUUACCAUCAUCCAGCUCACUGCAGAAACUUAGCUUCUGGGACUGUAAGAGGCUGGGUCUUGUGCCUGUGGAGGAGAAUGGAGGAGGAAUGCAGGAGGACAAGUCAUUGCUCCAAUCAUUAACAAUAAAGGGAUGUGGCAAACUCUUCUCUCGUUGGCCCAUGGAGACCAUUUGCCCUUUCCCUGCUUCCCUGAAGAAACUUAAUGUUAAGGGAGAGACAAGCAUGAAGUCAAUGGCUCUGCUCUCAAACCUCACGUCUCUCACCACUCUAAAGCUAAGCUGCUGCAGUAAUUUAACAGUGGACGGAUUCAGUCCUCUCAUCGCAGUUAGCCUCAUACAACUGGAAGUGCAUAGGUGCAACACCCCUAGAUUAGCAGCAGAUAUGCUCUCAGAGGUAGCCUUUCAGAGGGCCAAAUUAUUGCCUGCAGGUUACAUCUCUAGAUUGGAGAAACUCAGUGUGGGUGACAUCUCUGGAUUGCUUAUUUCUCCUAUUUGCAACCUCCUCGCCCCGGCCCUCCACACACUUGUAUUCAUGUUUGAUUGGAGGAUGGAAAGCUUGACGGAAGAGCAAGAGAAAGCACUGCAGCUCCUCUCCGUCCUCCAGAAUCUAAGGUUUUACUCCUGCAUACAUCUGCAGUCCCUUCCUCAAGGGUUACAUCGCCUUUCUUCUCUCAAGGAGUUAUGUGUCAUUAGCUGUCCAAAUAUCCGAUCGAUGCCCAAGGAGGGCCUCCCGGUUUCGCUGAGAAAACUCCAGAUGAAUGAUUGCAGCGCUGAGAUAGAUGAACAGAUUGAGAAAAUCAAAAGAACCAACCCAGAUUUAUCCGUCGAAGAUGACUAA
RNAcentral lists this ribosomal RNA (1098 nucleotides) under Triticum aestivum (bread wheat). RNAcentral describes it as "partial small subunit ribosomal RNA". Lineage: Eukaryota; Viridiplantae; Streptophyta; Magnoliopsida; Poales; Poaceae. The record is from RNAcentral.